Molecule: ribosomal RNA, 238 nt
Filed under: uncultured bacterium
Lineage: Bacteria
Description: partial 16S ribosomal RNA
Rfam family: Bacterial small subunit ribosomal RNA
Source: RNAcentral
GAUCAUGGCUUAGGAUGAACGCUAGCUACAGGCUUAACACAUGCAAGUCGAGGGGCAGCAUCAUCAAAGCUUGCUUUGAUGGAUGGCGACCGGCGCACGGGUGAGUAACACGUAUCCAACCUGCCGACAACACUGGGAUAGCCUUUCGAAAGAAAGAUUAAUACCGGAUGGCAUAGUUUUCCCGCAUGGGAUAAUUAUUAAAGAAUUUCGGUUGUCGAUGGGGAUGCGUUCCAUUAGG